RNAcentral lists this ribosomal RNA (102 nucleotides) under Megaselia scalaris. Lineage: Eukaryota; Metazoa; Arthropoda; Insecta; Diptera; Phoridae. The record is from RNAcentral.
AUAUACGACCAUACCUCAAUGAACACACCGGCUCUCGUCCGAUCACCGAAGUUAAGCAUUGUCGGGAUGGGGGACCGCUUGGGAACACCGCGUGUUGAUGGC